CCUACGGGAGACAGCAGUGGGGAAUAUUGGGCAAUGGGCGCAAGCCUGACCCAGCAACGCCGCGUGAAGGAAGAAGGCUUUCGGGUUGUAAACUUCUUUUAAGGGGGAAGAGAAGAAGACGGUACCCCUUGAAUAAGCCACGGCUAACUACGAGCCAGCAGCCGCGGUAAUACGUAGGUGGCAAGCGUUGUCCGGAUUUACUGGGUGUAAAGGGCGUGCAGCCGGAGAGACAAGUCAGAUGUGAAAUCCACGGGCUCAACCCGUGAACUGCAUUUGAAACUGUUUCCCUUGAGUGUCGGAGAGGUAAUCGGAAUUCCUUGUGUAGCGGUGAAAUGCGUAGAUAUAAGGAAGAACACCAGUGGCGAAGGCGGAUUACUGGACGAUAACUGACGGUGAGGCGCGAAAGCGUGGGGAGCAAACAGGAUUAGAUACCCUAGUAGUC
This 442-nucleotide ribosomal RNA is filed under the name uncultured bacterium. RNAcentral's name for it is "partial 16S ribosomal RNA". It matches the Rfam family "Bacterial small subunit ribosomal RNA", at positions 338 to 795 of the family's 1533-position model. The record is from RNAcentral.